This 1504-nucleotide ribosomal RNA is filed under the name Klebsiella sp. ok1_1_9_S53. RNAcentral describes it as "bacterial SSU rRNA". It matches the Rfam family "Bacterial small subunit ribosomal RNA". Lineage: Bacteria; Pseudomonadati; Pseudomonadota; Gammaproteobacteria; Enterobacterales; Enterobacteriaceae. The record is from RNAcentral.
CUGGCGGCAGGCCUAACACAUGCAAGUCGAGCGGUAGCACAGAGAGCUUGCUCUCGGGUGACGAGCGGCGGACGGGUGAGUAAUGUCUGGGAAACUGCCUGAUGGAGGGGGAUAACUACUGGAAACGGUAGCUAAUACCGCAUAAUGUCGCAAGACCAAAGUGGGGGACCUUCGGGCCUCAUGCCAUCAGAUGUGCCCAGAUGGGAUUAGCUAGUAGGUGGGGUAACGGCUCACCUAGGCGACGAUCCCUAGCUGGUCUGAGAGGAUGACCAGCCACACUGGAACUGAGACACGGUCCAGACUCCUACGGGAGGCAGCAGUGGGGAAUAUUGCACAAUGGGCGCAAGCCUGAUGCAGCCAUGCCGCGUGUGUGAAGAAGGCCUUCGGGUUGUAAAGCACUUUCAGCGGGGAGGAAGGCGGUAAGGUUAAUAACCUCAUCGAUUGACGUUACCCGCAGAAGAAGCACCGGCUAACUCCGUGCCAGCAGCCGCGGUAAUACGGAGGGUGCAAGCGUUAAUCGGAAUUACUGGGCGUAAAGCGCACGCAGGCGGUCUGUCAAGUCGGAUGUGAAAUCCCCGGGCUCAACCUGGGAACUGCAUUCGAAACUGGCAGGCUAGAGUCUUGUAGAGGGGGGUAGAAUUCCAGGUGUAGCGGUGAAAUGCGUAGAGAUCUGGAGGAAUACCGGUGGCGAAGGCGGCCCCCUGGACAAAGACUGACGCUCAGGUGCGAAAGCGUGGGGAGCAAACAGGAUUAGAUACCCUGGUAGUCCACGCCGUAAACGAUGUCGAUUUGGAGGUUGUGCCCUUGAGGCGUGGCUUCCGGAGCUAACGCGUUAAAUCGACCGCCUGGGGAGUACGGCCGCAAGGUUAAAACUCAAAUGAAUUGACGGGGGCCCGCACAAGCGGUGGAGCAUGUGGUUUAAUUCGAUGCAACGCGAAGAACCUUACCUGGUCUUGACAUCCACAGAACUUUCCAGAGAUGGAUUGGUGCCUUCGGGAACUGUGAGACAGGUGCUGCAUGGCUGUCGUCAGCUCGUGUUGUGAAAUGUUGGGUUAAGUCCCGCAACGAGCGCAACCCUUAUCCUUUGUUGCCAGCGGUCCGGCCGGGAACUCAAAGGAGACUGCCAGUGAUAAACUGGAGGAAGGUGGGGAUGACGUCAAGUCAUCAUGGCCCUUACGACCAGGGCUACACACGUGCUACAAUGGCAUAUACAAAGAGAAGCGACCUCGCGAGAGCAAGCGGACCUCAUAAAGUAUGUCGUAGUCCGGAUUGGAGUCUGCAACUCGACUCCAUGAAGUCGGAAUCGCUAGUAAUCGUAGAUCAGAAUGCUACGGUGAAUACGUUCCCGGGCCUUGUACACACCGCCCGUCACACCAUGGGAGUGGGUUGCAAAAGAAGUAGGUAGCUUAACCUUCGGGAGGGCGCUUACCACUUUGUGAUUCAUGACUGGGGUGAAGUCGUAACAAGGUAACCGUAGGGGAACCUGCGGCUGGAUCACCUCCUU